GGGUUGUGAGGUUAAGCGACUAAGCGUACACGGUGGAUGCCCUGGCAGUCAGAGGCGAUGAAGGACGUGCUAAUCUGCGAUAAGCGUCGGUAAGGUGAUAUGAACCAUUAUAACCGGCGAUUUCCGAAUGGGGAAACCCAGUGUGAUUCGUCACACUAUCAUUAACUGAAUCCAUAGGUUAAUGAGGCGAACCGGGGGAACUGAAACAUCUAAGUACCCCGAGGAAAAGAAAUCAACCGAGAUUCCCCCAGUAGCGGCGAGCGAACGGGGAGCAGCCCAGAGCCUGAAUCAGUGUGUGUGUUAGUGGAAGCGUCUGGAAAGGCGUGCGAUACAGGGUGACAGCCCCGUACACAAAAAUGCACAUAUUGUGAGCUCGAUGAGUAGGGCGGGACACGUGGUAUCCUGUCUGAAUAUGGGGGGACCAUCCUCCAAGGCUAAAUACUCCUGACUGACCGAUAGUGAACCAGUACCGUGAGGGAAAGGCGAAAAGAACCCCGGCGAGGGGAGUGAAAAAGAACCUGAAACCGUGUACGUACAAGCAGUGGGAGCACGCUUAGGCGUGUGACUGCGUACCUUUUGUAUAAUGGGUCAGCGACUUAUAUUCUGUAGCAAGGUUAACCGAAUAGGGGAGCCGAAGGGAAACCGAGUCUUAACUGGGCGUUAAGUUGCAGGGUAUAGACCCGAAACCCGGUGAUCUAGCCAUGGGCAGGUUGAAGGUUGGGUAACACUAACUGGAGGACCGAACCGACUAAUGUUGAAAAAUUAGCGGAUGACUUGUGGCUGGGGGUGAAAGGCCAAUCAAACCGGGAGAUAGCUGGUUCUCCCCGAAAGCUAUUUAGGUAGCGCCUCGUGAAUUCAUCUCCGGGGGUAGAGCACUGUUUCGGCAAGGGGGUCAUCCCGACUUACCAACCCGAUGCAAACUGCGAAUACCGGAGAAUGUUAUCACGGGAGACACACGGCGGGUGCUAACGUCCGUCGUGAAGAGGGAAACAACCCAGACCGCCAGCUAAGGUCCCAAAGUCAUGGUUAAGUGGGAAACGAUGUGGGAAGGCCCAGACAGCCAGGAUGUUGGCUUAGAAGCAGCCAUCAUUUAAAGAAAGCGUAAUAGCUCACUGGUCGAGUCGGCCUGCGCGGAAGAUGUAACGGGGCUAAACCAUGCACCGAAGCUGCGGCAGCGACGCUGAUGCGUUGUUGGGUAGGGGAGCGUUCUGUAAGCCUGUGAAGGUGUGCUGUGAGGUAUGCUGGAGGUAUCAGAAGUGCGAAUGCUGACAUAAGUAACGAUAAAGCGGGUGAAAAGCCCGCUCGCCGGAAGACCAAGGGUUCCUGUCCAACGUUAAUCGGGGCAGGGUGAGUCGACCCCUAAGGCGAGGCCGAAAGGCGUAGUCGAUGGGAAACAGGUUAAUAUUCCUGUACUUGGUGUUACUGCGAAGGGGGGACGGAGAAGGCUAUGUUGGCCGGGCGACGGUUGUCCCGGUUUAAGCGUGUAGGCUGGUUUUCCAGGCAAAUCCGGAAAACUAAGGCUGAGGCGUGAUGACGAGGCACUACGGUGCUGAAGCAACAAAUGCCCUGCUUCCAGGAAAAGCCUCUAAGCAUCAGGUAACAUCAAAUCGUACCCCAAACCGACACAGGUGGUCAGGUAGAGAAUACCAAGGCGCUUGAGAGAACUCGGGUGAAGGAACUAGGCAAAAUGGUGCCGUAACUUCGGGAGAAGGCACGCUGAUAUGUAGGUGAAGUCCCUCGCGGAUGGAGCUGAAAUCAGUCGAAGAUACCAGCUGGCUGCAACUGUUUAUUAAAAACACAGCACUGUGCAAACACGAAAGUGGACGUAUACGGUGUGACGCCUGCCCGGUGCCGGAAGGUUAAUUGAUGGGGUCAGCGCAAGCGAAGCUCUUGAUCGAAGCCCCGGUAAACGGCGGCCGUAACUAUAACGGUCCUAAGGUAGCGAAAUUCCUUGUCGGGUAAGUUCCGACCUGCACGAAUGGCGUAAUGAUGGCCAGGCUGUCUCCACCCGAGACUCAGUGAAAUUGAACUCGCUGU
This 2037-nucleotide ribosomal RNA is filed under the name Shigella boydii. RNAcentral describes it as "partial 23S ribosomal RNA". It matches the Rfam family "Bacterial large subunit ribosomal RNA", at positions 1 to 2054 of the family's 2925-position model. The record is from RNAcentral. Lineage: Bacteria; Pseudomonadati; Pseudomonadota; Gammaproteobacteria; Enterobacterales; Enterobacteriaceae.